AGAGUUUGAUCCUGGCUCAGGACGAACGCUUGCGGCGUGCCUGAGAAAUGCAAGUCGAGCGGGGUGUAGCAAUACACCUAGCGGCGAACGGUCGAGUAACACGUAAGCAACCUGCCCUGCAGUGGGGGAUAACAGCGGGAAACCGCUGCUAAUACCGCAUAGGCAUAUUCCUGGGCAUCCAGGGAUGUGUAAAGGCUAGACUGCUGCAGGAGGGGCUUGCGGCCUAUUAGCUAGUCGGUGGGGUAACGGCCUACCGAGGCGACGAUGGGUAGCUGGUCUGAGAGGAUGGUCAGCCGGAUCGGGACUGAGACACGGCCCGGACUCCUACGGGGGGCAGCAAUCAGGAAUAUUGCGCAAUGGGGGAAACCCUGACGCAGCGACGCCGCGUGCGGGAUGAAGGCCUUCGGGUCGUAAACCGCUGUUGUGGGAGAAGAAGGCCUGCCGACGAGGCAGGGGAGACGGUAUCUCACGAGAAAGCCCCGGCUAACUACGUGCCAGCAGCCGCGGUAAU
RNAcentral lists this ribosomal RNA (511 nucleotides) under uncultured bacterium. RNAcentral's name for it is "bacterial SSU rRNA". It matches the Rfam family "Bacterial small subunit ribosomal RNA", at positions 8 to 524 of the family's 1533-position model. The record is from RNAcentral.